This 69-nucleotide transfer RNA is filed under the name Nephila pilipes (giant wood spider). It matches the Rfam family "tRNA". Rfam says of the family: Transfer RNA (tRNA) molecules are approximately 80 nucleotides in length. Their secondary structure includes four short double-helical elements and three loops (D, anti-codon, and T loops). The record is from Rfam by way of RNAcentral. Lineage: Eukaryota; Metazoa; Arthropoda; Arachnida; Araneae; Nephilidae.
UCCCAUGUGGUCUAGUGGUUAGGAUUCUGGCUUUCACCCAGGCGGCCCGGGUUGAUUCCCGCAUGGGAA